AUUGAACGCUGGCGGCAGGCCUAACACAUGCAAGUCGAACGAGUGGCGGACGGGUGAGUAAUGUAUGGGAACCUGCCUGAUGGAGGGGGAUAACUACUGGAAACGGUAGCUAAUACCGCAUACCAUCAGAUGUGCCCAGAUGGGAUUAGCUAGUUGGUGGGGUAACGGAUAACAAAGGCGACGAUCCCUAGCUGGUCUGAGAGGAUGACCAGCCACACUGGAACGGAGAAACGGGCCAGACUCCUACGGUAGGCAGCAGUGGGGAAUAUUCCACAAUGUGCGCAAGCCUGAUGCAGCCAUGCCGCGUGUAUGAAGAAGGCCUUCGGGUUGUAAAGUACUUUCAGCGGGGAGGCGUUACCCGCAGAAGAAGCACCGGCUAACUCCGUGCCAGCAGCCGCGGUAAUUC
RNAcentral lists this ribosomal RNA (406 nucleotides) under uncultured bacterium. RNAcentral describes it as "partial 16S ribosomal RNA". It matches the Rfam family "Bacterial small subunit ribosomal RNA", at positions 30 to 526 of the family's 1533-position model. The record is from RNAcentral.